AAUAUUGGGCAAUGGGCGCAAGCCUGACCCAGCAACGCCGCGUGAAGGAAGAAGGCUUUCGGGUUGUAAACUUCUUUUCUGAGGGACGAUAGUGACGGUACCUCCGGAAUAAGCCACGGCUAACUACGUUCAAGCAGCCGCGGUUAUACGUAGGUGGCAAGCGUUAUCCGGAUUUACUGGGUGUAAAGGGCGCGUAGGCGGGGAUGCAAGUCAGAUGUGAAAUCUAUGGGCUUAACUCAUAAACUGCAUUUGAAACUGUAUCUCUUGAGUGCUGGAGAGGUAGAUGGAAUUCCUUGUGUAGCGGUGAAAUGCGUAGAUAUAAGGAAGAACACCAGUGGCGAAGGCGAUCUACUGGACAGUAACUGACGCUGAGGCGCGAAAGCGUGGGGAGCAAA
This 395-nucleotide ribosomal RNA is filed under the name uncultured bacterium. Its description in RNAcentral is "bacterial SSU rRNA". It matches the Rfam family "Bacterial small subunit ribosomal RNA", at positions 360 to 772 of the family's 1533-position model. The record is from RNAcentral.